AACAGAUCUGACGACGCGAGCGCGCAAAAGACGGAGAGCGCGCUUGAGCCAAAGAACUCUCAUCAUAAUCUCAAAACGGAAAGUGGGGAAACAAUUUUAGAAAUCUUUCCCAGAGACCUCAGAAAGAAAGAGAAGGUUAUAAAACACUUAACAGGUCCUCUUCAUUUCAGUCCAAAAUGCAGGAAGCAUGUCUACAGGCUUUACCAUAACACCAGAGACUGCACCAUCCCUGCAUGUGCCCUGAUUUACCCCUGCACAUGGAGUUUUAACACAGAAACAAUAUAGGCUACAAAUUCAGGACUCAUCCAGCUGAUUAUCCAACUCAUCAGGCUUUACUCCUGUCCUCAGACUACAGAAGGUGCGCGCGACUCCUGACACGACUG
Long non-coding RNA from Ctenopharyngodon idella (grass carp), 383 nucleotides. RefSeq lists it as uncharacterized. Lineage: Eukaryota; Metazoa; Chordata; Actinopteri; Cypriniformes; Xenocyprididae. The record is from RefSeq and is a predicted model, not a curated record. The transcript has 4 exons.